This 693-nucleotide long non-coding RNA is filed under the name Rattus norvegicus (Norway rat). Its description in RNAcentral is "long non-coding RNA NONRATT027067". Lineage: Eukaryota; Metazoa; Chordata; Mammalia; Rodentia; Muridae. The record is from RNAcentral.
UUGUCCCAAAUGUGCAUAGGCCCAGAAGGUCAGCUUAGGCAGGUCUUUGGUAUAGCUCCCUCCCCCAAGCAGGAAGGAGCCCCAGUAUGGGGUGUGGAGGAAAAUGGGUGGGGCCCUGGCCCUUGUAAUCGGCCUCUAAGCUAUAAAGGGUCUCUGAACCCCAACUGAGUAGGAGAUGCCUAAUGCAUAUGCUCCUCCCAGCUCUUCAUUACAGUCAUGGACAAGCUGCGUCUGGAGAUCCGCGCCAUGGACGAGGUGCAGAAGUUGGGCAGGGAGCCCGGGCCUGGAUGGAGGGGAGCAGAGCAAGGUACAUAGGGUCUCACGAGGAUAGCACUUGUGUCUGUAGAUCCAGCCAGACCUGCGGGAGCUAAUGGAGACCAUGCACAGAAUGAGCCACCUGCCUCCAGACUUUGAGGGCCGCCAAACAGUCAGCCAGUGGCUGCAGACCCUGAGUGGUAUGUCGGCCUCUGAUGAGCUAGAUGACUCCCAAGUUCGCCAGAUGCUCUUCGAUCUGGAGUCAGCUUACAAUGCCUUCAACCGCUUCCUACACUCCUGAGUGUCAUCGAGGCAAGAAAGAGACUGAUGGAGAUGUGACGCCUCAGCUCCCUGUGUCUACACCUGUCCCACAUGUCUAUAUUGUCAGGACAUCGCCCACAAUAAAGAUCUCUCUAACCUUCCUGCUAUGAGCAGUUA